GAUGAAGAACGCAGUGAAAUGCGAUAAGUAGUGUGAAUUGCAGAAUUCAGUGAAUCAUCGAAUCUUUGAACGCACAUUGCGCCCCCUGGUAUUCCGGGGGGCAUGCCUGUUCGAGCGUCAUUUCACCACUCAAGCCUCGCUUGGUAUUGGGCAACGCGGUCCGCCGCGUGCCUCAAAUCGUCCGGCUGGGUCUUCUGUCCCCUAAGCGUUGUGGAAACUAUUCGCUAAAGGGUGUUCGGGAGGCUACGCCGUAAAACAACCCCAUUUCUAAGGUUGACCUCGGAUCAGGUAGGGAUACCCGCUGAACUUAAGCAUAUCAAUAAGCGGAGGA
This 331-nucleotide unclassified non-coding RNA is filed under the name soil metagenome. RNAcentral describes it as "partial contains 5.8S ribosomal RNA, internal transcribed spacer 2, and large subunit ribosomal RNA". The stretch from base 1 to 120 matches the Rfam family "5.8S ribosomal RNA", at positions 35 to 154 of the family's 154-position model. The record is from RNAcentral.